Gopherus flavomarginatus (Mexican gopher tortoise) is the source of this 1454-nucleotide long non-coding RNA. RefSeq lists it as uncharacterized. Lineage: Eukaryota; Metazoa; Chordata; Testudines; Testudinidae. The record is from RefSeq and is a predicted model, not a curated record. The transcript has 3 exons.
CAGGUCUGCCGAGGGUGGGGCGCACCAGGCCCCCCAUCACCCCAUCCCAGAGUCGGACACAAGGGGGAACCUGUCUCCCAAGACCCCUGCAGAGUGAACAAAGCUGCUGGACCAAACCCAUUCACCAGCUCAUUCUACAGGGGCCCCCCGAGAACACGGCCUGUGAAGCAUCAUGGGACACCUGAGGGGAACCCAGGAGUCCGAGUCCAGUCCAACACGGGCCCAGAGGAGGGAGGGACAGGCCAAAAAGCCCCGCUGUGAAUCUAGCCUGAGCCCCUGGACAGGGCCGGCUUUAGGCCGAUUCCACCACUUUCCCCGAAUCGGGCCCCGCGCCCAGGGGCAGAGCCACCGGGGGGUGGGGCAAGUGGCCGAGAAUCCCUUCUCUGGCUAGAGGCUCCUUUUUGAAUUUUUACUCACCCGACAGCGCUCUGGGUCUUCAGCAGCACUUCGGUGGCCGGUGAAGGACCCGCCACCGAAGAUUAGGCGCACCGCCCAGUGAGUACAAGCCCCACAUGGUUUUUUAUGUUUUUUGGUUUUUUAAGUCAUCCCUGCUGGUGCCCUGUCGAAACUGUUCGAAUUGGGCACCGCGCUUCCUAAAGCCGGCCCUGCCCCUGGAAACCCUGGGCCAUAGAUCGGCCCCAAGUGAUACCUGCCUGAGCUAGAAAAAGGUCCCGAGUCGAGGAACCAUUUCCGGGAGGGGGGGGGCGGAGGGAGUGGUGCCAGUGCCAGUGGUUAAUUCCCUCUGCUGAGAAAUCUGCACCUCCUGUCCAGUCUGCUUCAAUCGCCAGCCACAGGAUCUUCUCACACCCACCCUGAGUGAAGAGCCCCCUGUUAUCAAACUGCUGGUACCGAGAGAGAGACGGGGGGCGGGGGAAAUGGGGGUGGACAGAGCUAAAAAGAGGGGUGUGAAUGGAGCUAGAGAGGUGAGUGUGAACAGAGACAGACAGAGCAGGAGGGGUGUGAACAGAGGACAGGGCUGGAGAGGGAUGCGAUUUGAGCCUAGAGGGGGGGUGAAUAGAGCUAGGGAGGUGGGUGUGAACAGAGACAGACAGAGCAGGAGGGGUGUGAAAAGAGGACAGGCUGGAGGGGGUGUGAUUUGAGCCCAGAGUGGUGUGAUUUGAGCUAGAGAGGCAGGUGUGAACAGGCACCGACAGAGCUAGGAUGAGGGGAGAGGUGUGAACUCGGGAGGGGCUGUGGGUGUGAACGGGUCCUGGACGGGGUGUGAAUGGGGAAGAUAUGGACGGGGUGUGAAUGGAGGACAGGGCCGGAGAGGGGUGUGAUUUGAGCCUAGAGGGGUGUGAUUUGAGCUAGAGAGGCAGGUGUGAACAGGCACCAGCAGAGCUAGAAUGAGGGGAGAGGUGUGAACUCGGGAGGGGCUGGGGGUGUGAAUGGGGCCUGGACAGGGUGUGAACUGGGAGCACCAGAGCGUGGUGCGGUUGGGGAUAGAGAGAGAG